This 467-nucleotide ribosomal RNA is filed under the name uncultured bacterium. RNAcentral's name for it is "partial 16S ribosomal RNA". It matches the Rfam family "Bacterial small subunit ribosomal RNA", at positions 28 to 506 of the family's 1533-position model. The record is from RNAcentral.
GACGAACGCUGGCGGCGUGCUUAACACAUGCAAGUCGAACGGAAAGGCCCUGCUUUUGUGGGGUGCUCGAGUGGCGAACGGGUGAGUAACACGUGAGUAACCUGCCCUUGACUUUGGGAUAACUUCAGGAAACUGGGGCUAAUACCGGAUAGGAGCUCCUGCUGCAUGGUGGGGGUUGGAAAGUUUCGGCGGUUGGGGAUGGACUCGCGGCUUAUCAGCUUGUUGGUGGGGUAGUGGCUUACCAAGGCUUUGACGGGUAGCCGGCCUGAGAGGGUGACCGGCCACAUGGGGACGGAGAGACGGCCCAGACCCCGACGGGAGGCAGCAGUGGGGAAUAUGGCACAAGGGGCGGAAGCCUGAUGCAGCAACGCCGGGGGGGGGAGGACGGCCUUGGGGUUGUAAACCGCUUUCGCCUGUGACGAAGGGGGAGGGACGGGAAUGGGGAAAGAAGCACCGGCUAACUACGG